This 497-nucleotide ribosomal RNA is filed under the name uncultured bacterium. RNAcentral describes it as "bacterial SSU rRNA". It matches the Rfam family "Bacterial small subunit ribosomal RNA", at positions 29 to 523 of the family's 1533-position model. The record is from RNAcentral.
AUUGAACGCUGGCGGCAUGCUUUACACAUGCAAGUCGAACGGUAACAGGCCUUCGGGUGCUGACGAGUGGCGAACGGGUGAGUAAUGCAUCGGAACGUGCCCAAUCGUGGGGGAUAACGUAGCGAAAGUUACGCUAAUACCGCAUAAGCCCUGAGGGGGAAAGCAGGGGAUCGCAAGACCUUGCGCGAAUGGAGCGGCCGAUGUCAGAUUAGCUAGUUGGUGGGGUAAAGGCCUACCAAGGCGACGAUCUGUAGCGGGUCUGAGAGGAUGAUCCGCCACACUGGGACUGAGACACGGCCCAGACUCCUACGGGAGGCAGCAGUGGGGAAUUUUGGACAAUGGGCGCAAGCCUGAUCCAGCCAUGCCGCGUGCGGGACGAAGGCCUUCGGUUGUAAACCGCUUUCAGCCGGAAGAAUACGCCAAGGCUAAUAUCCUUGGUGGAGUGACGGUACCGGAAGAAGAAGCACCGGCUAACUACGUGCCAGCAGCCGCGGUAA